This is a long non-coding RNA of Oncorhynchus keta (chum salmon), 364 nucleotides long. RefSeq lists it as uncharacterized. Lineage: Eukaryota; Metazoa; Chordata; Actinopteri; Salmoniformes; Salmonidae. The record is from RefSeq and is a predicted model, not a curated record. The transcript is spliced from 3 exons.
CACACACACACACACACACACACACACACAGUCAGUAUGAAUACCACAAGGUAUAGUUAUACUGGAGAGGAUGUUCCCCUACUGCAGGACUCACUGUCUACACACACACACACACACACAGUCAGUAUGAAUACCACAAGGUAUAGUUAUACUGGAGAGGAUGUUCCCCUACUGCAGGACUCACUGUCUACACACACACACACACACAGUCAGUAUGAAUACCACAAGGUAUAGUUAUACUGGAGAGGAUGUUCCCCUACUGCAGGACUCACUGUCUACACACACACACACACAGUCAGUAUGAAUACCACAAGGUAUAGUUAUACUGGAGAGGAUGUUCCCCUACUGCAGGACUCACUGUCUA